Molecule: transfer RNA, 85 nt
Filed under: Clostridiales bacterium
Lineage: Bacteria; Bacillati; Bacillota; Clostridia; Eubacteriales
Description: tRNA-OTHER
Source: RNAcentral
CCUUAAACGGGUUAACUCAGUGGUUAGAGUAUGUCUUCUGGCAAGCAAAAAGGAUUGCUGAGGUUCAAAUCCUCAACUUUAAGGA